GGUUAAGCGACUAAGCGUACACGGUGGAUGCCCUGGCAGUCAGAGGCGAUGAAGGACGUGCUAAUCUGCGAUAAGCGUCGGUAAGGUGAUAUGAACCGUUAUAACCGGCGAUUUCCGAAUGGGGAAACCCAGUGUGUUUCGACACACUAUCAUUAACUGAAUCCAUAGGUUAAUGAGGCGAACCGGGGAACUGGAAACAUCUAAGUACCCCGAGGAAAAGAAAUCAACCGAGAUUCCCCCAGUAGCGGCGAGCGAACGGGGAGCAGCCCAGAGCCUGAAUCAGUGUGUGUGUUAGUGGAAGCGUCUGGAAAGGCGCGCGAUACAGGGUGACAGCCCCGUACACAAAAAUGCACAUGCUGUGAGCUCGAUGAGUAGGGCGGGACACGUGGUAUCCUGUCUGAAUAUGGGGGACCAUCCUCCAAGGCUAAAUACUCCUGACUGACCGAUAGUGAACCAGUACCGUGAGGGAAAGGCGAAAAGAACCCCGGCGAGGGGAGUGAAAAAGAACCUGAAACCGUGUACGUACAAGCAGUGGGAGCACGCUUAGGCGUGUGACUGCGUACCUUUUGUAUAAUGGGUCAGCGACUUAUAUUCUGUAGCAAGGUUAACCGAAUAGGGGAGCCGAAGGGAAACCGAGUCUUAACUGGGCGUUAAGUUGCAGGGUAUAGACCCGAAACCCGGUGAUCUAGCCAUGGGCAGGUUGAAGGUUGGGUAACACUAACUGGAGGACCGAACCGACUAAUGUUGAAAAAUUAGCGGAUGACUUGUGGCUGGGGGUGAAAGGCCAAUCAAACCGGGAGAUAGCUGGUUCUCCCCGAAAGCUAUUUAGGUAGCGCCUCGUGAAUUCAUCUCCGGGGGUAGAGCACUGUUUCGGCAAGGGGUCAUCCCGACUUACCAACCCGAUGCAAACUGCGAAUACCGGAGAAUGUUAUCACGGGAGACACACGGCGGGUGCUAACGUCCGUCGUGAAGAGGAAACAACCCAGACCGCCAGCUAAGGUCCCAAAGUCAUGGUUAAGUGGGAAACGAUGUGGGAAGGCCCAGACAGCCAGGAUGUUGGCUUAGAAGCAGCCAUCAUUUAAAGAAAGCGUAAUAGCUCACUGGUCGAGUCGGCCUGCGCGGAAGAUGUAACGGGGCUAAACCAUGCACCGAAGCUGCGGCAGCGACGCUGAUGCGUUGUUGGGUAGGGGAGCGUUCUGUAAGCCUGCGAAGGUGUGCUGUGAGGCAUGCUGGAGGUAUCAGAAGUGCGAAUGCUGACAUAAGUAACGAUAAAGCGGGUGAAAAGCCCGCUCGCCGGAAGACCAAGGGUUCCUGUCCAACGUUAAUCGGGGCAGGGUGAGUCGACCCCUAAGGCGAGGCCGAAAGGCGUAGUCGAUGGGAAACAGGUUAAUAUUCCUGUACUUGGUGUUACUGCGAAGGGGGACGGAGAAGGCUAUGUUAGUAGGGCGACGGUUGUCCCGGUUUAAGCGUGUAGGCUGGUUUUCCAGGCAAAUCCGGAAAAUCAAGGCUGAGGCGUGAUGACGAGGCACUACGGUGCUGAAGCAACAAAUGCCCUGCUUCCAGGAAAAGCCUCUAAGCAUCAGGUAACAUCAAAUCGUACCCCAAACCGACACAGGUGGUCAGGUAGAGAAUACCAAGGCGCUUGAGAGAACUCGGGUGAAGGAACUAGGCAAAAUGGUGCCGUAACUUCGGGAGAAGGCACGCUGAUAUGUAGGUGAAGUCCCUCGCGGAUGGAGCUGAAAUCAGUCGAAGAUACCAGCUGGCUGCAACUGUUUAUUAAAAACACAGCACUGUGCAAACACGAAAGUGGACGUAUACGGUGUGACGCCUGCCCGGUGCCGGAAGGUUAAUUGAUGGGGUUAGCGCAAGCGAAGCUCUUGAUCGAAGCCCCGGUAAACGGCGGUACCGUAACUAUAACGGUCCUAAGGUAGCGAAAUUCCUUGUCGGGUAAGUUCCGACCUGCACGAAUGGCGUAAUGAUGGCAGGGCUGUCUCCACCCGAGACUCAGUGAAAUUGAACUCGCUGUGAAGAUGCAGUGUACCCGCGGCAAGACGGAAAGACCCCGUGAACCUUUACUAUAGCUUGACACUGAACAUUGAGCCUUGAUGUGUAGGAUAGGUGGGAGGCUUAGAAGUGUGGACGCCAGUCUGCAUGGAGCCGACCUUGAAAUACCACCCUUUAAUGUUUGAUGUUCUAACGUUGACCCGUAAUCCGGGUUGCGGACAGUGUCUGGUGGGUAGUUUGACUGGGGCGGUCUCCUCCUAAAGAGUAACGGAGGAGCACGAAGGUUGGCUAAUCCUGGUCGGACAUCAGGAGGUUAGUGCAAUGGCAUAAGCCAGCUUGACUGCGAGCGUGACGGCGCGAGCAGGUGCGAAAGCAGGUCAUAGUGAUCCGGUGGUUCUGAAUGGAAGGGCCAUCGCUCAACGGAUAAAAGGUACUCCGGGGAUAACAGGCUGAUACCGCCCAAGAGUUCAUAUCGACGGCGGUGUUUGGCACCUCGAUGUCGGCUCAUCACAUCCUGGGGCUGAAGUAGGUCCCAAGGGUAUGGCUGUUCGCCAUUUAAAGUGGUACGCGAGCUGGGUUUAGAACGUCGUGAGACAGUUCGGUCCCUAUCUGCCGUGGGCGCUGGAGAACUGAGGGGGCUGCUCCUAGUACGAGAGGACCGGAGUGGACGCAUCACUGGUGUUCGGGUUGUCAUGCCAAUGGCACUGCCCGGUAGCUAAAUGCGGAAGAGAUAAGUGCUGAAAGCAUCUAAGCACGAAACUUGCCCCGAGAUGAGUUCUCCCUGACCCUUUAAGGGUCCUGAAGGAACGUUGAAGACGACGACGUUGAUAGGCCGGGUGUGUAAGCGCAGCGAUGCGUUGAGCUAACCGGUACUAAUGAACCGUGAGGCUUAACCUU
RNAcentral lists this ribosomal RNA (2901 nucleotides) under Escherichia coli. Its description in RNAcentral is "23S ribosomal RNA". It matches the Rfam family "Bacterial large subunit ribosomal RNA". The record is from RNAcentral. Lineage: Bacteria; Pseudomonadati; Pseudomonadota; Gammaproteobacteria; Enterobacterales; Enterobacteriaceae.